UAGGUAGUUUUAUGUUGUUGGGCAUUCACCUUUCUCUCUACAACAAGAAACUGCCUUAA
Molecule: microRNA precursor, 59 nt
Filed under: Xenopus tropicalis (tropical clawed frog)
Lineage: Eukaryota; Metazoa; Chordata; Amphibia; Anura; Pipidae
Description: Xtr-Mir-196-P1_pre stem-loop
Source: RNAcentral